UGGGGAAUAUUGCGCAAUGGGGGCAACCCUGACGCAGCGACGCCGCGUGUGUGAUGAAGGCCUUCGGGUCGUAAAGCACUGUCAAGUGGAAAGAGUGAGGCGUAGUUAACACCUGCGCCGAUGACGGUACCACUUGAGGAAGCACCGGCUAACUCCGUGCCAGCAGCCGCGGUAAUACGGAGGGUGCAAGCGUUGUUCGGAAUCAUUGGGCGUAAAGGGCGCGUAGGCGGGACGUUAAGUCCGAUGUGAAAUCCCUCGGCUCAACUGAGGACGUGCAUCGGAUACUGGCGACCUUGAGUCCUGGAGAGGGUAGCGGAAUUCCCCGAGUGUAGAGGUGAAAUUCGUAGAUAUUGGGAGGAACACCGGUGGCGAAGGCGGCUACCUGGACAGUGACUGACGCUGAGGCGCGAAAGCAUGGGUAGCAAACAGGAUUAGAUACCCUGGUAGUCCAUGCCGUAAACGAUGGGUGCUAGUUGUGCGGGUAUUGACCCUGCGCUGACGAAGCU
This 506-nucleotide ribosomal RNA is filed under the name uncultured bacterium. Its description in RNAcentral is "partial 16S ribosomal RNA". It matches the Rfam family "Bacterial small subunit ribosomal RNA", at positions 355 to 853 of the family's 1533-position model. The record is from RNAcentral.